GUUUGGCGAUCUAUAACUAAAUUGGAUUAUGCAUUAAGACGCUUCAGACAAAAAAGAUUGGAAAAAAGACAUUUGUGGAGAAACAUCUGCAUCGCAGCCAAAAGAAGAGAAUUCGGAGAGCGUCGAGAGUGGUGGCAAAUAUAAGGAAGCGAUAGCUUCAGCUAGCAAGUGCUCGUGUUUUGCUUGUACUCAACCUUCCGCGUUUUCACCUUUUAAGAAUGGGCUUGGACACAGAAAUGAAAUCCGUCCUCUUGCACCGUUUUCAAAUGUUUCAAGUUUGGCUGAUUAUGUAUACCUCCCCUCAAAAGGUUCGUAUG
This is a long non-coding RNA of Xenia sp. Carnegie-2017, 317 nucleotides long. RefSeq lists it as uncharacterized. The record is from RefSeq and is a predicted model, not a curated record. NCBI's taxonomy places the organism in Eukaryota, Metazoa, Cnidaria, Anthozoa, Malacalcyonacea, Xeniidae. The transcript has 2 exons.